UGUGCAUACUGCUUCUUAGGGCA
This 23-nucleotide unclassified non-coding RNA is filed under the name Mus musculus (house mouse). RNAcentral describes it as "oocyte_clustered_small_RNA5762". The record is from RNAcentral. Lineage: Eukaryota; Metazoa; Chordata; Mammalia; Rodentia; Muridae.